ACAGGGAUUGCCUCAGUAACGGCGAGUGAAGCGGCAACAGCUCAAAUUUGAAAUCUGGCCCCAGGCCCGAGUUGUAAUUUGCAGAGGAUGCUUCUGGUGAGGUGCCUUCCAAGUCCCCUGGAACGGGGCGCCGAAGAGGGUGAGAGCCCCGUCCGGUUGGCCGCCAAGCCUGUGUGAAGCUCCUUCGACGAGUCGAGUAGUUUGGGAAUGCUGCUCUAAACGGGAGGUAGACCCCUUCUAAAGCUAAAUAUUGGCCAGAGACCGAUAGCGCACAAGUAGAGUGAUCGAAAGAUGAAAAGCACUUUGAAAAGAGGGUUAAAAAGUACGUGAAAUUGUUGAAAGGGAAGCGCUUGUGACCAGACGUGUGCCGGGGUGUUCAGCGGGCGUUCUCGCCCGUGCACUCGCCCCGGUACAGGCCAGCGUCGGUUCGCGCGGGGGGACAAAGGCGUUGGGAACGUAGCUCCUCCGGGAGUGUUAUAGCCCAGCGUGCCAUGCCCCCGCGCGGACCGAGGUUCGCGCUCCGCAAGGACGCUGGCGUAAUGGUCUCCAGCGGCCCGUCUUGAAACACGGACCAAGGAGUCGAGGUUUUGCGCGAGUGUUUGGGUGUCAAACCCGCACGCGUAAUGAAAGUGAACGCAGGUGGGAGCUUCGGCGCACCACCGACCGAUCCUGAUGUUCUCGGAUGGAUUUGAGUAGGAGCGUAGGGCCUCGGACCCGAAAGAUGGUGAACUAUACGUGGAUAGGGUGAAGCCAGAGGAAACUCUGGUGGAGGCUCGCAGCGGUUCUGACGUGCAAAUCGAUCGUCAAAUCUGCGUAUGGGGGCGAAAGACUAAUCGA
Molecule: ribosomal RNA, 837 nt
Filed under: Codinaeella sp.
Lineage: Eukaryota; Fungi; Ascomycota; Sordariomycetes; Chaetosphaeriales; Chaetosphaeriaceae
Description: partial large subunit ribosomal RNA
Rfam family: Eukaryotic large subunit ribosomal RNA
Source: RNAcentral